RNAcentral lists this ribosomal RNA (899 nucleotides) under Termitomyces intermedius. Its description in RNAcentral is "partial large subunit ribosomal RNA". The record is from RNAcentral. Lineage: Eukaryota; Fungi; Basidiomycota; Agaricomycetes; Agaricales; Lyophyllaceae.
UCCGGAGAGACUAACAAGGAUUCCCCUAGUAACUGCGAGUGAAGCGGGAAAAGCUCAAAUUUAAAAUCUGGCUUAGCUUCGCCGCCCGAGUUGUAAUCUAGAGAAGCAUUAUCAGCGCUCGCGGCGUGUACAAGUGUCCUGGAAUGGACCAUCAUAGAGGGUGACAAUCCCGUCUUUGACACGGCUGCCUUUAGUGCUAUUGAUGUGCUCUCAACGAGUCGAGUUGUUUGGGAAUGCAGCUCUAAAUGGGUGGUAAGUUCCAUCUAAAGCUAAAUAUUGGCGAGAGACCGAUAGCGAACAAGUACCGUGAGGGAAAGAUGAAAAGAACUUUGGAAAGAGAGUUAAACAGUACGUGAAAUUGCUGAAAGGGAAACGCUUGAAGUCGGUCGCGUUGGCUGGGUAAAUUCGAGAAAUCAACCUUGCUUUCUUGAAAGCUUGGCUUAUUUCCCAGCUGACGGGCCAGCAUCAGUUUUGACCGGUGGAUAAAGGCCAAGGGAAUGUGGCACCUCUUGGGGUGUGUUAUAGCCCUCGGUCAUAUACAUCGGUUGGGACUGAGGAACUCAGCACUUGUUGCUUARGAUGCUGGCAUAAAGGCUUUAAGCGACCCGUCUUGAAACACGGACCAAGGAGUCUAACAUGCCCGCGAGUGUUUGGGUGGAAAACCCGAGCGCGCAAUGAAAGUGAAAGUUGAGAUCCCUGUCAUGGRGAGCAUCAAUGCCUGGACCAGAGCUUUUGUGAUGGAUCCACGGUAGAGCGUGUAUGUUGGGACCCGAAAGAUGGUGAACUAUGCCUGAAUAGGGUGAAGCCAGAGGAAACUCUGGUGGAGGCUUGUAGCGAUUCUGACGUGCAAAUCGAUCGUCAAAUUUGGGUAUAGGGGCGAAAGACUAAUCGAACCAUCU